CUGGAUGUGGGGCCCGUUCCACGGGUUCCGUGUCGGAGCUAACGCGUUAAGCAUCCCGCCUGGGGAGUACGGCCGCAAGGCUAAAACUCAAAGAAAUAGACGGGGGCCCGCACAAGCGGCGGAGCAUGCGGAUUAAUUUGAUGCAACGCGAAGAACCUUACCUGGGCUUGACAUGUUCCCGACAGCCGUAGAGAUAUGGCCUCCCUUCGGGGCGGGUUCACAGGUGGUGCAUGGUCGUCGUCAGCUCGUGUCGUGAGAUGUUGGGUUAAGUCCCGCAACGAGCGCAACCCUCGCCCUGUGUUGCCAGCACGUCAUGGUGGGAACUCACGGGGGACCGCCGGGGUCAACUCGGAGGAAGGUGGGGAGGACGUCAGAUCAUCAUGCCCCCUACGUCCAGGGCUUCACGCAUGCUACAAUGGCCGGUACAACGGGAUGCGACACGGCGACGUGGAGCGGAUCCCUGAAAACCGGUCUCAGUUCGGAUUGGAGUCUGCAACCCGACUCCAUGAAGGCGGAGUCGCUAGUAAUCGCGGAUCAGCAACGCCGCGGUGAAUGAGUUCCCGGGCCUCGCACU
This 574-nucleotide ribosomal RNA is filed under the name uncultured bacterium. RNAcentral's name for it is "bacterial SSU rRNA". It matches the Rfam family "Bacterial small subunit ribosomal RNA", at positions 816 to 1387 of the family's 1533-position model. The record is from RNAcentral.